GUCGAGCGGUAACAGGUCCUUCGGGAUGCUGACAAGCGGCGGACGGGUGAGUAAUGCAUAGGAAUCUGCCCGGUAGUGGGGGAUAACCUGGGGAAACCCAGGCUAAUACCGCAUACGUCCUACGGGAGAAAGGGGGCUCCGGCUCCCGCUAUUGGAUGAGCCUAUGUCGGAUUAGCUGGUUGGUGAGGUAAUGGCUCACCAAGGCAACGAUCCGUAGCUGGUCUGAGAGGAUGAUCAGCCACAUCGGGACUGAGACACGGCCCGAACUCCUACGGGAGGCAGCAGUGGGGAAUAUUGGACAAUGGGGGCAACCCUGAUCCAGCCAUGCCGCGUGUGUGAAGAAGGCCCUCGGGUUGUAAAGCACUUUCAGCGAGGAAGAACGCCUGGCGGUUAAUACCCGCCAGGAAAGACAUCACUCGCACAAGAAGCACCGGCUAACUCCGUGCCAGCAGCCGCGGUAAUACGGAGGGUGCAAGCGUUAAUCGGAAUUACUGGGCGUAAAGCGCGCGUAGGUGGCUUGAUAAGCCGGUUGUGAAAGCCCCGGGCUCAUCCUGGGAACGGCAUCCGGAACUGUCAGGCUAGAGUGCAGGAGAGGAA
This 597-nucleotide ribosomal RNA is filed under the name Halomonas sp. CS61103. Its description in RNAcentral is "bacterial SSU rRNA". It matches the Rfam family "Bacterial small subunit ribosomal RNA", at positions 61 to 659 of the family's 1533-position model. The record is from RNAcentral. Lineage: Bacteria; Pseudomonadati; Pseudomonadota; Gammaproteobacteria; Oceanospirillales; Halomonadaceae.